CACAAGUUCAUCUAAAAUAGGUUUCAAUAUUCAUAUGCUUUAUUUGACACUGGUCUUGAAAUAUCUUCAUCUUUUGAAUAAUUGUAUAUCUUGUUAAUAUCAGCUCCUUGAUCUUGAAAGCUUAGUUAGUUUAUCAGAAUUGUUAUUUUUGUGGUUUAAUCGACAUCCAUCUUCUGAUUCUUCUGUCGUUUCAUUCUAUGAUUUCUGGUUUGUCCGUAAGUAACUGAUUGCCAUAAUAAUUUUGAUUUUUGGUAUUGACACCUGUUUAAGUUGAUCUGUUUGUUUGGGACCUUUACUUGUUCAAUGGUAGCUUUUACCUGCUUCCUAAGAUGAUUCCUGAACUAAAUAUUCACCCAUUGUUGUGUGUUUCUCGUUGUUAAGUAUUUCUUAAGCAUUUUGAUUGAGGCAUUUCUGAAUAGUGAGUGUUGAUAAAUAUAUUCUUUCUUAUUAUCCUUGUUUUGAUAAUCCUGUGUGAUGUUUGGAUCUGGAAGUCUAUAUUAAGGCAUCUGUGUUGAACCUUGUCAAUUUUGGCUAAUAAUGAUUUUCAUUAGCCUGUUUGUCUAAAGGGUGACCCAAGUUUGAUUGACCAGGGUCAAUUGUAACUAAACUAGGGUCAAAGAAUUGACUAAAGUCAAAUUUCAGGAGUGGGGUAAUUUAGGAAAGGAAGUGAGGGUAUAAGAGGGACUUAAACUCUUAAAAAAUAUGAUAGAACCUUCUAGCAAGAACUAUUGCACAAUACCUGCCUCAAAUUUGAGGCACAAGUCUGAAAUUGAAGGAUCAUUUAGACAAAAUGAAAUUUUGAGUUAAGGACUAAAAAGAAACUAGGGAAAAAUCUGAUUCCCUAAUGGCUCUAUUAUAAAAUGAACCCUCUGGGCACAGCAUGAGGAUCGGAAAACCUUCUCUUUGAGUUCUAGAGUUAAAAAUACAAACUAGUUUCUCCUAUAUCUGCAAAAUAUACCAUUAGUGAUGUUGGGUUAAUUUUUUUUGAAAGAUUGGUCUCUAAAAACUCUGCUGAAGUUUGGAUACACUGUUUGAUUGGUUGUUAAUUGUUUAGCUG
RNAcentral lists this long non-coding RNA (1057 nucleotides) under Nicotiana benthamiana. RNAcentral's name for it is "long non-coding RNA (NBEN_LNC009955)". The record is from RNAcentral. Lineage: Eukaryota; Viridiplantae; Streptophyta; Magnoliopsida; Solanales; Solanaceae.